AAGACUUGAGGGUACAGUAGGUGUGAAAUGCUUAUCGCACUCAGAGAUAGCUGGUUUUCCUAGAAAUGAGUAUGAGCUCAGCUGUGUAUUUUUAUUUUCGCAUUGUUUAUCUUACAGGAUAAAUAUGUUGGUUCAAAUAAUAAUAUGUUGGNAAGACAGAAAGGGAUAAGCUUUUCUGUCAAAAAAGAAAAAGCUUUUAUUACUAAUAAAGGAUAUUUUUACAAAUGUGUUGUAUGUUGAUAAAAAGUAGGAUUAAUAGCAUCUAACUUCAAAGAAAGCGUUAGAGCUAAUUUUAGUAAAGCGAUACAGAGAAAAUUUAUAAAGAGCAAUCCCAAAUUGUAAAAACUUAUAGGGAGAUUUCAUUAGUUUGAAAGUCAUAAUGUUGAAAUUAGUAAAGAAAUUAUAUUUUUUGUGAAUUAAUCAAUCCUAACCUUUGGAUGGAAUAAUAGUCUGUAGCCGAGAAGUUACUUUAUUCAGGUUGUCUACUAACGCAAGUAAUAUUAUUGAAGAAUAAAAUAAGAAAAAGGAAUUCGGCAAAUCAAAACUUCGCCUGUUUACCAAAAACAUCGCUCUUUGUAAAGAGUCUAAUAUAUAAAGAGUCCUGCCUGCCCGGUGACUUAGUUAAACGGCCGCGGUAUCUUGACCGUGCAAAGGUAGCAUAAUCAUUUGCCUUUUAAAUGGAGGCUGGUAUGAAUGGCAAGACGGGAGUUUAGCUGUCUCUUUCUUAUAACCUUGAAGUUAAUAUUUCUGUGAAGAAGCAGAAAUGUAGUCGUAGGACGAGAAGACCCUAUCGAGCUUUAGUAAAAAUAAGGUGUAAUCUGUUAAUGCUAUUUUACUGCUAAUAAAUAACUAAAAAUAGUUAGUGUAAUUUUACUGUAAAAUAGGGGUAGUAUGCAUUUAGUACUUAGGUUGGGGCAACCGCGGAGAAUAAAGACCCUCCGCUAAUUCAUUAGUAAAAAAAUUUUUUUAUAAUAUAAGAUUUUAUUGAUAAAGUGAUCCACCAGGAAAGGUGAGCAAAAGAAUAAGUUACCGUAGGGAUAACAGCGUAAUUUUUUUGGAGAGUUCAUAUUGAUAAAAAAGUUUGCGACCUCGAUGUUGGAUCGGGAUUUCCUAGGGAUGCA
Molecule: ribosomal RNA, 1121 nt
Filed under: Meridiastra occidens
Lineage: Eukaryota; Metazoa; Echinodermata; Asteroidea; Valvatida; Asterinidae
Description: partial 16S ribosomal RNA
Rfam family: Bacterial large subunit ribosomal RNA
Source: RNAcentral